AAAGAAACGACGAGAAAGAAGAAAAAAUGCAGAAUGAAAGGACUUACCUUCCUUCAUUUUUUAUUCUUUUUU
Molecule: non-coding RNA, 72 nt
Filed under: Platyophrya macrostoma
Lineage: Eukaryota; Ciliophora; Colpodea; Cyrtolophosidida; Platyophryidae
Source: RNAcentral